This 386-nucleotide long non-coding RNA is filed under the name Rattus norvegicus (Norway rat). RNAcentral's name for it is "long non-coding RNA NONRATT025695". The record is from RNAcentral. Lineage: Eukaryota; Metazoa; Chordata; Mammalia; Rodentia; Muridae.
AGCCCAUCCCUCGUUGUAAAACUACAGCUUUGCCCUGCUCCAGAUUCCUUACUCACAUGAAGAAAUUUUCCUCAUCAAAUAAAACGGAUAAAUUACAUUUUCUGCCAUUUCCAGGAUCUAUAGGGACCCAUAGUCCAAAGACAGGUAAAAGACUACUUUGCGUUCACCAGUACACAAUCCCCAAGUCUCCUGCGAGCACCGUUUCUUUAGACGAAGAAGUUGGUGGAGAAGCCUGUCCUUCCCUGACACCGUCCAGUGAAAUGGAGGAAGACGAUCUUUUCUUUACUAUUAAUGAAAUGCAGAAGCCACCUAGACGACUGCCCAAGCAGACCUGGAUCAGCCCAUUUCUGGAAACGCAAGCUGCCAAUAAACUGCUUAAAAGAUCA